Long non-coding RNA from Wasmannia auropunctata (little fire ant), 2814 nucleotides. RefSeq lists it as uncharacterized. The record is from RefSeq and is a predicted model, not a curated record. The transcript has 3 exons. NCBI's taxonomy places the organism in Eukaryota, Metazoa, Arthropoda, Insecta, Hymenoptera, Formicidae.
UAACAUUUCGUCUAAUCCUUGGUUUCAUCAAUUUACAUACGAUAAAGCCGAGGAUAUUGCGGAAUGUCGAAAGUUAUUGACAGCGAAUCUCAGGGGUUGCAAUAAUUGUGGCGUGAUUAUUGCAUAUGUCCUGAUUUAAAGCUGAAUCAAUUGUGGGAUUCUCCACAUUUGCGAGAUUUGCUGUGUGCGCAUUUCGACAUCGGAUUGCAAGAAACGACUUACAACAGCUUAUUUAUAUGUACGUAUGUACACAUACAUGUUUAUUGGAACCCUUAUUUAUCACUAAUAUGAAUAUGACUUUUAACUUCUACACAUAUGAUUUAUGUAAAUUGUUACUUUACGUGCCUAAAUUGAAUAUGAUUUAUAAUUAUUAACAAAUUUAAUACCUUAUUAAAAGCACUUUCUUUCCUUUACAAUAUUUUCCUUCCAAGUAGUAAUAAAGGUGUAUCGAACAAUUCAGAGGCUUGGCAUGCUUUGCUGGAGCUGUUUUUCUUUCAGAUGUAUUUAUAAUGCUUAUGAUAAUUUGCCUUUAUAAUGUUUAAUUUGCCUUUCGAUUCUAUGGACUGACGUGUUGCGAUGUUUACGUACAUAACUUAUAUAAGUAUUAUGUGAUCGCAAUAAUGUAUACGCGGCAAGAUUUCAGUAGCAUCUGCUUGUGGCAUUAGCACGUUGAGUAACUCGUUUAGCAAGAAAUUCCGGUUUAUAUUUGUGUAAGAAAUCAUAGAAUCAAGAAUUUAAAUGACUGUGAGACACUUAUUAACAAUUUUAUUUGUGUGCCUAAAUAGUUAUUUUGUAAAUUAAAACACGAUGGAAAUAUGAUAUUUAAUACCGAUCCUUUGAUUGAUUAUGUACCACUGAGGAUGACCAGAAGGAUGGCCGAAACGUAUGGAAAUAAAUUUAUAUACUCGAGAUAAACUUGUAUAAUUUAUUGAAAUUAAAUAUGAGCAAUAAUUACCGCGCCGAUUCCCAUUAGCCUAUUACAUUUGAAUUGUUAAUUAUUUCUGGGUAACUUUAUAGUUCUUAAUUAAAUCAUAGAUUGUCUGCAGGUCUUGUGAUGCACGCUUUAAUUAAUCUUUUUUUUUUUUAAUAAAAGGCGCAGGAAUUUUGAAAUGUUUAAUAUUAUUUGCUCGAUAUACAUACUGUAAAGAAAUUUAUAUUAAUGUUUAGCUAUUUGCGCAAAAUACACAUGCAUGCCUUUUUAUCUCUUAUAACUGCAUGAUUACCUUGAUCAACCCUGAUAUGAUAAUUUUUCAGUUUCCUUUUUUUCCCGCGCAAACCAAUUUUAACACAAAAUGGUAGCUGUCAUUUCCACAUGAUUGAGUAAUAUAUUAACAUACUGUGUGAUUGACAUAUAUUAAUUUAUCAAGUAAGAUAAACUAACAUAAUUACAUACUUUUUUUGAAGUAAAUCAAUAUGCAUAUGUUCUAAUGUCAAUUUCUCAGUUUGUAGUUACCAAUGUCAACGUUAAUGCCACAAAUAUGUCUCUAAUUAUUACUUAAUAUAAGGAAGAAAAAGAUAUGAGCACGUCCUGGACGGACUAUUGCGUGUAAUCCAACAAGAAGAAGUUCGCCAAUUGUUCAAUGGAUGUUCGACCAUGAGAGCAGCGCUGAUGACUAUCUGACAACUGAGUUUUUACGACCAGAUUAAAACAAUGUUGCUACAAAUUGGCUAUUUUUAGUUAAUUUAGAAGGAAUAAUAUUCCUUCGUUUUUUAUCCAGUGUAUUGGUAGUAAAUUUCUAUAAAUACUGAAAGUUCCGUUAUUCCAGAUCCAUACGUCUGGAGAAGAGAUAACGGUGUAUGUGUGUGUGUGUGUGUGUGUGUGUAUGUGUGUGGUGUGCGCGCGCGCGCGCGUGUAAUUUUAUAUAUAUGCAUUAGGAUGAAGCGAUUUCUGACCCCCUGUUGUUCAUAUAUUUUCAGAAAGGGCGUAAAAAGUGAUGAAUUUUGGUGACAAGCAGAAAUUUUUUAAUGAAUAUCUAUUCCUCCUAAAAAAUCGAAAAACAUUUUUUUUCAAUUUUAUUUUAUUUUAAUUAAUCAUUGGUUUAUUAUGGUAUACAUAACAAUUGUUUCUUAAAAAUAAUUUAUUGUUAAAAAUCUUUUUUUUGUUUCAGUUCUCAGCUUUUUAAGCCGAGAUUCGAUUAUAGAAAAUGUCAUUCCAUCGCGUUUGCUUGUGGAUACACGAUACGCUGCCUUGGUGACAAUUUUAAUGUGACGCUCCGUUGUCUUUCCGCUUUAUAUGACAGGGUAUUUUCAAAUCUUUAAUUGCAGCAUCUACAAAUAUGUAUCCUUGGCUUUCGUCGUCUGACAUUGAUCGCGAAAAAGAAGAUAUGCUACUGACUGUGCCGCCGAAGUCUAUGCAGUUGUGAGCGAUCUAAAGCGCCUGCUCGAAUAGGCAACUUGUCGUACUGACCUGUAUGACGAUGCAACACCUAGUACAUUGGAUUCUUCUUAUCUGAAGGGUCAACCUUAAUGAUAGUAUUGUACUAUAUAAAGAGAGGCGUGUAGAAAAAAAAAUGAAAAUCUUGAACAGUUUGUCCUGGAAAAACAGUCUGUGAAUGUCGCUUAUGGAAGAUUUUGCAGCUGUAAGUAGAAAUUACAGGAUAUUGAUGCAAAAUGCAGCUAGCAUUGCAGUGUUUGAUCACAUUUAAUUUAUUGUACCUAGUAUAAUAUCUAGAAACAACCUGUUUUGCAGUAGAAUUUUGAUUAUUCAAUUUUAUUUGUGAAACUAGUUUAUUUUAAGUAAUAUGUUGAUUUUUCCAUACAACACAAAACAUAUUAGAGAAAAAAUGUUUUAAAUAAAAAUUUUACAGUUUAAAA